This 564-nucleotide ribosomal RNA is filed under the name uncultured Alphaproteobacteria bacterium. Its description in RNAcentral is "bacterial SSU rRNA". It matches the Rfam family "Bacterial small subunit ribosomal RNA", at positions 173 to 771 of the family's 1533-position model. Lineage: Bacteria; Pseudomonadati; Pseudomonadota; Alphaproteobacteria. The record is from RNAcentral.
AUGAUGACGUAAGUCCAAAGAUUUAUCGCCCAAGGAUGAGCCCGCGUAGGAUUAGCUAGUUGGUGAGGUAAAAGCUCACCAAGGCGACGAUCCUUAGCUGGUCUGAGAGGAUGAUCAGCCACACUGGGACUGAGACACGGCCCAGACUCCUACGGGAGGCAGCAGUGGGGAAUAUUGGACAAUGGGCGAAAGCCUGAUCCAGCAAUGCCGCGUGAGUGAUGAAGGCCUUAGGGUUGUAAAGCUCUUUUACCCGGGAUGAUAAUGACAGUACCGGGAGAAUAAGCUCCGGCUAACUCCGUGCCAGCAGCCGCGGUAAUACGGAGGGAGCUAGCGUUAUUCGGAAUUACUGGGCGUAAAGCGCACGUAGGCGGCUUUGUAAGUUAGAGGUGAAAGCCUGGAGCUCAACUCCAGAAUUGCCUUUAAGACUGCAUCGCUUGAAUCCAGGAGAGGUGAGUGGAAUUCCGAGUGUAGAGGUGAAAUUCGUAGAUAUUCGGAAGAACACCAGUGGCGAAGGCGGCUCACUGGACUGGUAUUGACGCUGAGGUGCGAAAGCGUGGGGAGCAA